This 207-nucleotide ribosomal RNA is filed under the name uncultured delta proteobacterium. RNAcentral's name for it is "partial 16S ribosomal RNA". It matches the Rfam family "Bacterial small subunit ribosomal RNA", at positions 568 to 774 of the family's 1533-position model. Lineage: Bacteria; Deltaproteobacteria. The record is from RNAcentral.
CGCGUAGGCGGUUUUACAAGUCAGAUGUGAAAGCCCAUGGCUCAACCAUGGACGUGCAUUUGAAACUGUACGACUUGAGUAUUGGAGGGGGUGGUGGAAUUCCCGGUGUAGAGGUGAAAUUCGUAGAUAUCGGGAGGAAUACCAGUGGCGAAGGCGACCACCUGGCCAAAUACUGACGCUCAUGUGCGAAAGCGUGGGGAGCAAACA